This is a long non-coding RNA of Callithrix jacchus (white-tufted-ear marmoset), 2324 nucleotides long. RefSeq lists it as uncharacterized. NCBI's taxonomy places the organism in Eukaryota, Metazoa, Chordata, Mammalia, Primates, Cebidae. The record is from RefSeq and is a predicted model, not a curated record.
GGCAGGGUGGGUGCAGCUGGCAGUGAGAGACGCUGCCUUUUCAACGCGGAUGGCUCCUCCUGCUGCCGCUGCUGCCCCAGGAGACAGCUAAGGGGACCUACUUCUCUCGGGAAUCUCAAUACUUGGAACAACAACCUCCUGGAUGAACUCUUUGGCAAAAUGAAUUGGACCAACUGUAAGUUCCAGGACUCGAGAACCAGCAAUGCUUCCCUGACAAUCCCACCCAAUGACCCUGCUCAGGCUGGAGUAUAGUGGUGUGAUCCUAGCUUACUGCAGCCUGGAUUUCCCUAGCUUAAGUGAUUCUCCUGUCUCAGCCUCUCAAGGAGCUGGGACUACAGGCAUGUGGCAGCACACCCAGCUAAUUUUUUUUAAAGUAGAGACAAGGUUUCUCUACAUUGCUCAGGCUGGUCUCAAACUGCUGAGCUCAGGCAGUCCUCCUGCCAUUACUUCCCAAAGUGCUCAGAUUGUAGGCGUGUCACUGCGCCCAGCCCGUUAUUACUGUCUGAUCACUGAGUUCUCAAACAACUCUGUGAGGUAGAUAUUCACGUUCUGUCCAUUUCACAGAUGAGGCUCAGAAAGGUUAAGUGUUUGUCUUAUGAUCGCAGUUAGGAAGCACCCGAGACCCAGGUCAAUGGACUUUAAAUCUCAGGCUCUUUUAUAACAUCAUUCUUUGUUCUUCUCUCCUCUACCCACCUCCUCUGCCUGCCCAGGAUAGGUACUUGCCUUUCUGGCCCUAGAUGGACACAUCAUGCUAUCUCCCCCUUGAUGUAAACAGGUGUGCUGUACUCCCGCCAGCCUUCCCCAGCUGGGGACCCAAGUUCCCCUCUCGUUGCUCAGGGCUUAUGUGUGUCAUCUGCCACACUCCACUCCCCCACACAUCAUGCCCUGUGACUUGGUACCUCAUCUUGCGUGAUUCAUGGCUGGUACCAUGGGCACUGGGAAGGUCUGGUUUCCAAGACCCCUUUCUACCCUCCAUCCAGUAGCUGUCAAAGGCAAACCUGGUGAGGUCAGCUAUCUCACUCAGAAGAGGGACAGGGACAAAGGCAGAAAGGAAGUGAGCUAUUAGGAUAUCCAGCAGAAUUCCAUCUGGCCUUGGUGCCCCCAAAGGCUGUAAUGCUUGGCAUUUGUAUUCCCAGAUGCUAUUUAUCCAACGUGGGUAGUAAAUUGUCCUAGUGAUCCAGUGGGUUCCCUCCAGCCCACUUUAGCAGUAGUCUCUGCAUUGUGCAGCCAGCUCCCCAAGACAUGUGGCCUGAAAGGUGCUACCUGCUAUAAGGGCUGAAUUAAUGCAGCUCCACUUUAUGGGAAAAAACAGGAAGGGGGCCAGGCAUGGUGGCUGGCGCCUGUAAUCCCAGCACUUUGGGAGACCGAGGCAGGUAGAUCAUGAGGUCAAGAGUUUGAGACCAGCCUGACCAACAUAGUGAAACCCUGUCUUUACUAAAAAUACAAAAAUUAGCCAGGUGAGGUGGCACGUGCCUGUAAUCCCAGCUACUCAGGAGGCUGAAGCAGGAGAAUUGCUUGAACCCUGGAGGUGGAGGCUGCAGGGAGCCAAGAUUUCAGCCUGGGCGACAGAGAGAGACUGUCUCAAAAGGAAAAAAAAGAAAGAAAGAGGAAGAAGCCUGAAUGCAGGUCUAUUUGUGAAGAUUAAGCAAGAUAAAGAACGUGCCCAGGAUAUAAGAACAUCACCAUUCUGAAGCACUGCAGGACUCAGCAGGACUAUUUAAGAAACAACUGAGGCAUCAGACAGACUUUCCCCACAAGUCCUCGGAUCUUUCCUGCCACGCCAAUGCCAUAUUUUCCAACGUGAUCAACCUGGCCCCCCAGAAGGGGGACGACUUUGCUGUCUACACUAACAUGCCUCCUUUUCAUCGCCCCAAGAGGACAUCGCCAGACCAAGUGGAAUAUGCCUUCAUUGUAUUCCACUGACGGGAAGCCAACGAGAUGCUCAGAGCAGGGGUCAGGCCUGGCCCCAGCUGGAUCUUGGCAUAGCCUUUGCUUUAUAUUUAUGUGUGUAUGAUUUAAAAAAAAAUACAUAGGCCGGGCUCGGUGGCUCACGCCUGUAAUCCCAGCACUUUGGGAGGCCGAGGCAGGCAGAUCACGAGGUCAGGAGAUAGAGAGCAUCCUGGCCAACAUGGUGAAACCCUGUCUCUACUAAAAACACAAAAAUUAGCUGGGCAUGGUGGCAUGUGCCCGUAAUCCCAACUACUCAGGAGGCUGAGGCAGGAGAAUCACUUGAACCCGGGAGGCAGAAGUUGCAGUGAGCCGAGAUUGUGCCACAGCACUCCAGCCUGGGUAACAGAGUAAGACUCCAUCUCUAAGUACAAUAA